This 269-nucleotide ribosomal RNA is filed under the name Salmonella enterica subsp. enterica serovar Derby. RNAcentral's name for it is "partial 16S ribosomal RNA". It matches the Rfam family "Bacterial small subunit ribosomal RNA", at positions 1 to 266 of the family's 1533-position model. RNAcentral also lists the same sequence under 2 other names. The record is from RNAcentral. Lineage: Bacteria; Pseudomonadati; Pseudomonadota; Gammaproteobacteria; Enterobacterales; Enterobacteriaceae.
AAAUUGAAGAGUUUGAUCAUGGCUCAGAUUGAACGCUGGCGGCAGGCCUAACACAUGCAAGUCGAACGGUAACAGGAAGCAGCUUGCUGCUUUGCUGACGAGUGGCGGACGGGUGAGUAAUGUCUGGGAAACUGCCUGAUGGAGGGGGAUAACUACUGGAAACGGUGGCUAAUACCGCAUAAUGUCGCAAGACCAAAGAGGGGGACCUUCGGGCCUCUUGCCAUCAGAUGUGCCCAGAUGGGAUUAGCUUGUUGGUGAGGUAACGGCUC